RNAcentral lists this ribosomal RNA (402 nucleotides) under uncultured Herpetosiphon sp. RNAcentral's name for it is "bacterial SSU rRNA". It matches the Rfam family "Bacterial small subunit ribosomal RNA", at positions 355 to 774 of the family's 1533-position model. Lineage: Bacteria; Bacillati; Chloroflexota; Chloroflexia; Herpetosiphonales; Herpetosiphonaceae. The record is from RNAcentral.
CAAGGAAUUUUCGGCAAUGGGCGCAAGCCUGACCGAGCAACGCCGCGUGGAGGAUGACGGCUUUCGGGUUGUAAACUCCUUUUGGGUGGGACGAUAAUGACGGUACCAUCCGAAUCAGACCCGGCUAACUACGUGCCAGCAGCCGCGGUAAUACGUAGGGGUCGAGCGUUGUCCGGACUUACUGGGCGUAAAGCGUGGGUAGGUGGCCACUGAUGUGCCGUGUGAAAGCGCCGCGCUUCUCGCGGCGAGGUCGCGGUAGACACAGUGGCUCGAGGCACGGAGAGGGGCGUAGAAUUCCCGGUGUAGUGGUGAAAUGCGUAGAUAUCGGGAGGAAUACCAGUGGCGCAAGCGGCGCCCUGGCCGUGACCUGACACUGAGCCACGACGGCGUGGGGAGCAAACG